This is a long non-coding RNA of Limulus polyphemus (Atlantic horseshoe crab), 238 nucleotides long. RefSeq lists it as uncharacterized. The transcript has 2 exons. NCBI's taxonomy places the organism in Eukaryota, Metazoa, Arthropoda, Merostomata, Xiphosura, Limulidae. The record is from RefSeq and is a predicted model, not a curated record.
AUUUAUUUUCAAAUAAUUUCAGGUCGUUCAUUGGUCCCUCUAUCGGGGGUUACUUGUUGGACAAAAUAGGAUACAGAAAUGGAACGGUGGUACUUAUAAUUAUUGAAGCCAUUUUGGUAUGCAUCCUUCUGAUAUACUUGGUGUGGGACUAUAGGAUGAAAAACAAGAAGCCUGGCUACGCGAGAAAGUCAGCUCAACAUUACUAAACUAAAUAAAUAGAAAGAUAUUAGUCCGAUAA